ACAGAUGGAUAUUAGAAUCGAGCUCAUUCUUUAGUCGAACUAAUAUAUACAUCUGUACGCAUGCCAGCUAAACAGGUGUCAUAACGCACCUAUUACAGGUAUCGCAGGUACGUGGAAUAUUAAAUCAGGGGAAAUUGUAAUUUCAUUACGGUAACGUGACGAUCAUACUGAUAUAUUAAAUAUUACUGAAAACGUUAAUCCGGAAAAUAUCACUUGGCCAACGUCCUCAAUCUUAUUUAAAUACAACGAUAGUAUAAUGAGGAGCUGUGUUUUAAUCAGAUUGACAUAGUCCGUCGACCUUAACAUACAUUUAUAAUCGACCCAAUGAGCCCCACAGUCGACUUGGGGUGUUGUAAAUGAUUACGUAAUACUACUAAUCCCGACAUUGUGUGUCAGUAUACCCGAUAAUACGAUCAGCUGUACAUAUUCUCUACACUGUAUUGUUUAUGAGAAUAAAACAAUUGUCAUUGUCAUUGUCAUCAUGUACGUAUGUCCAUCUCUUAUUGACAUGCGUGGAUCUAUACUCCCGUAUGUCAGCACCAAACGCAACGGCACGACUACAUGUAUCACCUACGAUCUUCGGUGUAUUUAAUUAUUGAAGGAAACAGUAAUUUAACCUCCAUGCUCCAAUUUGGACCAUACCGGAAUGUUGUGUAUUUAGCCCUAAACUGGACUGUAAAUGAUCAUUAUGGUUUGGUCUUGAAAUUAUAAAGUUCUAGAUGAUCCACUCGAUCUGGAAGGAGGGAAGUGAACGAGGUAAAUAUCCACGCUGUGUAUCACGGGGGCUACACACAUUGAUGGAUGUCAGGGGCUGAGGAUUCGCUUUAAGUUCCUGCGAGGAGGUGUGCAACCUGGUAGCGAACACCGUAAACAGAUCUGACGCCCAAAGUUUCACCGAGGGGAGGCGACAGUAAGCAGUUUGUCGGAUCCUAGUUAUAAAUUAUUUACGUCAUUUUGUUCGACGGACCAUAUUGCUCGGCUCAGCGUGACAAGAGUCCAGUUUCUUGUAUUUUCUGCCUAUACAAGACCCUGGCUCGUGUCUUUAAGAAAUGCCACUAAGGACACACCAUAACCACAUCAUUACUUUCAUUUGGCUUGCAUGUAACGGGUCAUGCAUUAUUAAGGAGGCUGCUGCUAAACAUCAGGCAACUAUUUGGUGACUGUCUCGGCCCGCGAUAAUUCGUUGGACAAAAACCACGUGUAUCUGUCCGAGAUGCUGGUAGUGUAAUAAUCACCAAGGCCGCCUGUUGUAAUUUCAAACCCGUAAACUUACACUAAAUUUUGAGAUUAAGUGUGGCAGUGGAGAGUUCUGUAGCAUAACGUUGUACAUUUUCGCUCGGAGAUGUAUACGUAACGUAGCUACAGACGAGGCGGCCAAAGAGAACAGACGAAGGACAAUUAAUUUCAGUAGUGCCGGCGGACAUGUUGGGCAUGCUCGUCUGGUAGUAGACAAAAUAUAGGUUGUCGACAUGUUAAAUAUCGCCAUCGUUUGCUGUCAUUGGUUUCUCCAGUAAAGUUGCACAAUAAACAAAGACGAUGCACAACCCAAUAUUACAGAGACGACGAUCCAGUCUGUUUAAGGGACAGGAUGGCACUCCUCUGAAUCUGACUGCAGCAAGGAAGCGUUCCGAACGCGAUGGUUUACUAACACCGGAACGGGUAUCACCGCCCGUCGCGCUGGAACGGAAGUCAUCCUUCCGAAAUGGCGAAGGACUCACAGGACGAGUGCCGGGAACAAUCACUCCACCAGUAUUUGUACAGAAGAAACAUUUCAUGUUUAAGCAUGAUAACUAUCAGGAACAGACUAGGGAAAACUUGUUUUCCAAAAAUUACUUCCCUAAAAGUAAAGCUAGACAUGAACGCGCCAAAAGACAUACUGACGAAUUGCUGGCAGACGACAACUAUAAGCGCUUUGUCAUUAUGACGAUCUCUAUGAGUUUAUUUAUCAUUGUUGUGAUUUCUGUCUCCUUGUAUCAGAUGAUUUACAAGAAUUUCACGUGACGCCAUACAAUACACAUAUUUUAUUUUAUUUUUUCCUGUCCUAUAGAGAUAGCUUCGUCUUAUAAGCUGUGUUUAUCCAAGGGGGAACUCGAAGAGCCGCAUCAUUUUGAAAAAUUACUAAAACCACUUUGUUUUAAAUGGUG
This 2144-nucleotide long non-coding RNA is filed under the name Mizuhopecten yessoensis (Yesso scallop). RNAcentral describes it as "uncharacterized LOC110465590". Lineage: Eukaryota; Metazoa; Mollusca; Bivalvia; Pectinida; Pectinidae. The record is from RNAcentral.